This 410-nucleotide ribosomal RNA is filed under the name Pantoea agglomerans. Its description in RNAcentral is "bacterial SSU rRNA". It matches the Rfam family "Bacterial small subunit ribosomal RNA", at positions 76 to 483 of the family's 1533-position model. Lineage: Bacteria; Pseudomonadati; Pseudomonadota; Gammaproteobacteria; Enterobacterales; Erwiniaceae. The record is from RNAcentral.
UUGCUUCUUGGGUGACGAGUGGCGGACGGGUGAAUAAUGUCUGGGGAUCUGCCCGAUAGAGGGGGAUAACCACUGGAAACGGUGGCUAAUACCGCAUAACGUCACAAGACCAAAGAGGGGGACCUUCGGGCCUCUCACUAUCGGAUGAACCCAUAUGGGAUUAGCUAGUAGGGGGGGUAAUGGCCCACCUAGGCGACUAUCCCUAUCUGGUCUGAGAGGAUGACCAGCCACACUGGAACUGACACACGGUCCACACUCCUACGGGAGGCAGCAGUGGGGAAUAUUGCACAAUGGGCGCAAGCCUGAUGCACCCAUGCCGCGUGUAUGAAAAAGGCCUUCGGGUUGUAAAGUACUUUCAGCGGGGAGGAAGGCGACGGGGUUAAUAACCCUGUCUAUUGACGUUACCCGCA